This 72-nucleotide transfer RNA is filed under the name Ixodes scapularis (black-legged tick). RNAcentral describes it as "tRNA-Pro for anticodon UGG". Lineage: Eukaryota; Metazoa; Arthropoda; Arachnida; Ixodida; Ixodidae. The record is from RNAcentral.
GCUGGUUAGCACAGUUGGUAGAGUGCUCCUUUGGAAGUAGAGAGGUUCCGAGUUCGAUACCCGGACCAGGCG